UAGAUGCUUGUCUUCCUUUGUCUCCUUCCCUUCCUUCCUUCCUCCUUUCUACAUUGCAUGUGAUGGAUAAAGCUCCAUCUAGGGCUAUGAGAUUGAGGACCUCAUCUGAUGUUUAGCAAACCUAAAAGGUGGAACCAGCCUAAGCCUCAGGAGAUUUGUGAAAUCAUAAUACCAGUUCUGGAUUUUCUCUCUAGAAAUUUUUUUAAUGUGAAAGAGAAACAAACAUCACUUUGUUUAUGCCACUGUUCUUUGCAGUCUCUGUAACUGGCAGCUAAUUUUAACUAAUCCAGAAACUUAUCCAAAGUGAUCAUGUAAGGUUCAAACCCAGGCCCACCAGUCUGCAAAAUCCACACUCUUAGGCAGAAGCCUGAAGAACUCCUGAUUAUAAUCUGCAAAAGAUUGGUGGUGGGGGAAGAGUGUGUGUGUGUGUAAAACUGCUGACAAGAAUUUGACAGAAGGAAAGAAGGAAAGUUCGAAUAUGCUCGCAAUUCUGCAUACCUAAGAGACAAUCAAAGGGAAUAUGCUACUGGACAGUAAAGAAUAUAGUCUCCAUCAGAGGUGGACAGAGAAAGAUCUGUCACCUGCAUGGAUCUGGAAAGAGAAAGGAAAGAGAAGCUGUGUCUCUGAAAGAUGCUGCUGUAUUUUAUUUCCCAUCUAUGUUUUAUAAAUUUCCUAUAUACAUUUAUUAUUCUGUUCAUAGAAAAUUCUAAAAGACUCAGUCACUAUUUCCACAGCCAAAUUUGUCAAAGUGUAAAAUUGUGUUUAGAAGUCUCAUCAUAAUUAUUAAGCACUCAUUCUGUGCCCAUCAGUAUGCUAGAUAUCAAGAACAAUAUCAAAAAGCAUCAAUAUUGGUUUCUGACCUCAAGCAGCUCAGAACUUAGGUGAACACAUAGAAAACAACCAAGUACUACUUACAUGAAGAGAUGGAUCAGUGCAGGUGUUAAUAAUCAGAAAGAGACUCAUGAAAGAGAAGUAAAAUUUAGAAAGACCUAAAUUCUAUAUGUUUGCCUUAUCUGCCCCAAAUAUUGUCUUAAAAUGACCAAUCCACCCUCAGGGCUCAGUCAAUCUCUUUCUGGUAACCUUAGAAAAUCCAGAAGAAAAAGACAUAGAAAUACUCUGUUUUCUACAGCAUCCCAUUGGUUUGGGGACAUAUCUAGUGGUAGGCUCCUCACAUUCAUAUGAUAAAGGAGAUGACUGUGAGCAGCAAUGUGGCCGGUUCCUCUGCCCAAUGGCACAAGCAGAGUCACAAAUAACAGAAAUGAAAGGAUUACUACAAAUUGUGUUAUUGAACUGCAUGACCUACAUGGAGCAAUCAACUCACUCCUAGGUUUGGCAGGGCCUUUCUGAGUUGAUUCCCUGAAAAACAAAACAAAACAAUAAAACCCAAACCAAACCAAAAAAUAAAAAAAAAAUUAAAAAAAGAGACUCUGAGUGUCAUCAUCUCUGCUCCAUGUGGCUGCCUUGAUAAGAGUUCAGAUUUCUCUGUGUCAUGAGAAAAUUUUUAUGGUUAAUGGAAGACAGAAUAUUAUCCAGUAUUAACAGUUAUUUUCCAAUUCUGUAUUAUAAAAUUAUUUCUGAUAAUGGAAAAUUCUCUAUUCCUUUCAAUUAAUUAAAACAUUGAAAUUCUGCAGUGUAUAAAAGAAAGCACUGGAGUUCUGGAGAGGUGAGGCAGAAUACGAAGGUAAACAGGAAUCAUUAUUCCUUUUCUCAGAGGUAUGUAAUCUACAGGGGAAGCAUGCAGCACCUGAAAGGGGAGGAGAGGUUGGUGGGCCACGCAGGGUUGAAGGAGGAGCAUAGGAACAUGGGUCUGGGAAAGUUUGGCUAGCUUUACAGUGCUCAAUUGAAAUACUACUUUGCAAUAUUUUCUCAACACCAGGGUUCAAGUUUGUUAGUCCUACUGAGACAUCAGGUCAGAAGAAAAGAACAAAAGUGAGAAGGCAUUCAUGGCUUUGCAUUCUCAGAAAGUCAUCCUGCUGGUUCAACUCUAGUUUUAACAUGAGCUCUCCUCGGGCCUGGGAGAAAUUCUGAGAAUGACCCCUGAGAAUGAGCUCAGUGGUGAGAAGUCCAAAGACAGGAUGAGGUCGACAUUGCAUGUGUUUUUGGAAUAAGAAUCAACACACUUAAAGACUGGGAUUUGGAAGUAAGAAGGAGUACAUGGAAGUGAUUCAGGAAGACAAGGAAAUGAGACACAAGUGGCAACAUUUGUCAAAGUUCUAUGCAUUUGUUCCUUUGGAUUCAAGUGAAACAUCUGGAGUCAAUUCUUAACCCAAUGUUGGUUUGUUCUCACCAAACUCUUUGCCCUGCUAUUGGAAAAUAUAUUACAUUUCUGUAUGUUAUAUGCCCACAAAUACAAUUAAAUAUAUACUGCUUUAUGAUUUUUAAACAAGAUAAGAAAGGAUAAGAAAUAGGCAAUUAUACUCCUUUAUAAUUGCAUAAUUACCUUUAUCAGUGUUCUUUGUUUUGUGUGUGUGUGUAUUCAAAUUACUGUCUUGGGUCACUUGCUUUCAGCCUGAAGAACUAACUUUAGUAUGUCUUGUAAGGUAGGUCUACUGGCAGCAGAUUCUUUCAGAUUUUGUUUUCCAAAUGUCUUUUUAUUUCAUCUUCAUUUUUAAAUGAUAAUUUUGCUGGAUAUAUGAUUCUUGAUUAAGAGCUUUUAAAAUUUGAGGGCUGAGAAUAGGUUAUCCUAUUGCCUUCAGCCCUCUA
Molecule: long non-coding RNA, 2703 nt
Organism: Camelus dromedarius (Arabian camel)
Lineage: Eukaryota; Metazoa; Chordata; Mammalia; Artiodactyla; Camelidae
Exons: 4
Source: RefSeq, a predicted model, not a curated record